This 28-nucleotide ribosomal RNA is filed under the name Siphonochilus kirkii. RNAcentral describes it as "partial 18S ribosomal RNA". Lineage: Eukaryota; Viridiplantae; Streptophyta; Magnoliopsida; Zingiberales; Zingiberaceae. The record is from RNAcentral.
UAGGUGAACUGCGGAAGGAUCAUUGUCG